RNAcentral lists this ribosomal RNA (274 nucleotides) under uncultured bacterium. RNAcentral's name for it is "partial 16S ribosomal RNA". It matches the Rfam family "Bacterial small subunit ribosomal RNA", at positions 523 to 796 of the family's 1533-position model. The record is from RNAcentral.
AUACGGAGGGUGCAAGCAUUAAUCGGAUUUAUUGGGCGUAAAGGGGGCUAAGGCGGAAGUAUAAGUCAGAUGUGAAAGAUCGAGGCUCAACCUCGGGAGCGCAUUUGAAACUGUACAUCUAGAGGAUAUGCGGAGAAGGCGGAAUUCCACAUGUAGCGGUGGAAUGCGUAGAUAUGUGGAGGAACACCGGUGGCGAAGGCGGCUUUCUAGCUUAUAUCUGACGCUGAUGCCCGAAAGCUGGGGGAGCGAACAGGAUUAGAAACCCGAGUAGUCC